GGUAGACUUUGUUUGGGUGUUGUAACUUGUCCUAUGAGAGGCUCCACCCAGCAGCUGACUCAAAAGGAUACCCACAGCCAAACAGUAGAUGGAGCUUGGGGACUCUUAUGGAAGAGUUGGGGGAAGGAUUGUAGGCUCCGAAGGAGAUAGGAACUCCAUAGGCCAACAUAGUCAACUCACCCGGACCCUUGGGUGCUCCCAGAGACUGAAACACCAACCAAAGAGCACACAUGGGCUGGACCUAGGCCCCAUAUGUAGCAAAUGUGCAGCUUAGUCUUCCUUUGGUCUCUGAACAAUGGGAGAAGGGGUUGUCCCAAAAGCUGUUGCUUGUACAUGGAAUAUAUUCUUGUAGCUGGGUUGGCCUCAGUGGGAGAUGUGUCUAGUUCUGAAGAGACUUGAUGUACCAGGCUUGGGGGAUACAGGGGGUGGGGGCUCCUCCCUCUCAGAGUAGAAGGGGAGGAGGGAGAGGGAAGGAUGGUGGGAGGAGGUGACUGGGAGGGGGGCAGUGAGCAGGAUGCAAAGUGACUUAAUAAUGAUGAUGAUGAUGAGGAGGAGGAUAAAAUAACCACUGAAAGUGAUAGCAAACACAGAAAGAACAUUUCACAUUGCCCUCAGAUGAGACAUUGAACAAAGGGUCACACCCAACACAGAGUUCAGAGGAGGUCAUUUAAUAACUCUUCACCAUCUGACCAGGAAUCCAGGUCAUCAAGUAAAAGAAGUUUGUUUUUCUAGAGUGAUGUUAAAACUGAAUUCUAUUUCUGUCCUUGGACCCUGUGGGGUUCACUGUGUGCCCUUUGUAGCUCAGGAAUCUGAGCAUUGCCAGUUUUUCUUUUUUUUCUUUUUUUUUCAUAAUUUUGUGAAGAAAUAAAAGGUAGUAAGCAUUAGUCACAGGAGUUUUCACAAACACACACACACACACACACACACACACACACAAUGAGUUUGGGAUUUCACUUAACAUUGAACAGCUAUUUGUUUCUGGGUGUUACUCAUUGUAGCUUUUUUUUCCCCCCGAGUCCAAAUGGCUUAGAUGUCUCUGAAGUUUGCUUUUUCUAGUUGUAGAACCUGAAAUUUGAGACUGGGAAACCAGUGUGGUUGGGUCCUGAUAAAGUUCACAGGCAGCCUGUGUGCCUUCAUGGUGAAAGAUACAAGAGCAUUCCUAAGGGCUCCGUUGACGGGGACUCUAUCUUGACCCCUGAAUGACCAGAAUGCCUCCAGUCUUUUUCUCCAGUUUUUUUCCUGACUAUUCAGUGUAAUAUUUAUCAUUGCAAUGUGCUGUUUAAUGAAAGUGUGGUGGUUAGUCUGUGUCAACAUGACACAAGCUGGAGUUCUCCUGGGAAG
Molecule: long non-coding RNA, 1341 nt
Filed under: Mus musculus (house mouse)
Lineage: Eukaryota; Metazoa; Chordata; Mammalia; Rodentia; Muridae
Description: long non-coding RNA chr8:15537581-15538922
Source: RNAcentral